GGGGCGGUAAUACCAAAUAAUAUCAUUUGUCGAUAGGCAAAUGAUCAAAGAUUUAUCGGCACGGGAGCGGCCUGCCUCCUAUCAGCUUGUUGGUGAGGUAACGGCUCACCAAGGCAUCGACGGGUAGCGGGACUGAGAGGUUGGCCCGCAACAUCGGGACUGAGACACUGCCCGGACCUCCACGGAGGGCUGCAGUAACGAAUAUUGUGCAAUGGGCGAAAGCCUGACACAGCGACGCCGGGUGUAGGAGGAAGUCCCUCGGGAUGUAAACUACUGUCAGGGGGAAGAAAGUGUACUUCGGUGCAUUGAUCUACCCCAGAGGAAGUCACGGCUAACUUCGUGCCAGCAGCCGCGGUAAGACGAAGGUGGCAAGCGUUGUUCGGUAUUACUGGGCUUAAAGCGUGUGUAGGCGGAAAUGUAAGCGUUGUGUGAAAUCCCCCGGCUUAACCGGGGAACUGCUCAACGAACUGCUUUUCUUGAGGCAAGUAGGGGUGCAUGGAACUCUUGGUGGAGCGGUGGAAUGCGUAGAUAUCAAGAGGAACGCCAGCGGAGAAAUCGGUGCACUGGGCUUGUCCUGACGCUGAGACACGAAAGCGUGGUAGCGAACGGGAUUAGAUACCCCGGUAGUCCACGCCGUAAACGAUGCCUACUAGGUUGUGAAAGUUCUGACACUGGCACAGCCGAAGCAAAAGUGAUAUGUAGGCCGCCUGGGGAGUACGGUCGCAAGGCUAAAACUCAAAGGAAUUGACGGGGGCUCACACAAGCGGUGGAGCAUGUGGAUCAAUUCGAAGCAACGCGCAGAACCUUACCUGGGUUUGACAUGCUUGGAUGCUUGCCAGGAAACUGGUUAAGCUGCCCUUCGGGGUGAAACUUGCACAGGUGCUGCAUGGCUGUCGUCAGCUCGUGUCGUGAGAUGUCGGGUUAAGUCCUUUAACGAGCGAAACCCUUGCCGUUAGUUGCCAGCGGGUAAUGCCGGGGACUCUAGCGGGACUGCCGGUGUCAAACCGGAGGAAGGUGGGGACGACGUCAAGUCAUCAUGGCCCUUAUGCCCAGGGCCUCACACGUGCUACAAUGGCGACUACAGAGCGAUGCGAGACCGUGAGGUGGAGCAAAUCGCAAAAAAAGUCGCCCCAGUUCGGAUUGCAGGCUGACAACUCGCCUGCAUGAAGUUGGAAUCGCUAGUAAUCGCGUAUCAGCUACGACGCGGUGAAUAUGUUCCUGAGCCG
This 1226-nucleotide ribosomal RNA is filed under the name metagenome. RNAcentral's name for it is "bacterial SSU rRNA". It matches the Rfam family "Bacterial small subunit ribosomal RNA", at positions 157 to 1381 of the family's 1533-position model. The record is from RNAcentral.